CAUUAAAACACCUGUUCUCGUACGAUCACGGAAAUUAAGCAACGUCGAAUCUGGUUAGUACCUAGAUGGGUGCCCACUUGGGAAAAACAGGUACUGGAA
Non-coding RNA from Acanthosepion pharaonis, 99 nucleotides. The record is from the annotation of a GenBank genome assembly. Lineage: Eukaryota; Metazoa; Mollusca; Cephalopoda; Sepiida; Sepiidae.